Molecule: ribosomal RNA, 423 nt
Filed under: uncultured bacterium
Lineage: Bacteria
Description: bacterial SSU rRNA
Rfam family: Bacterial small subunit ribosomal RNA
Source: RNAcentral
AAGACCUUGCACUUUUGGAGCGGCCGAUGUCUGAUUAGCUAGUUGGUGGGGUAAWGGCYUACCAAAGCUUCGAUCAGUAGCUGGUCUGAGAGGACGGCCAGCCACACUGGGACUGAGACACGGCCCAGACUCCUACGGGAGGCAGCAGUGGGGAAUUUUGGACAAUGGGGGCAAGCCUGAUCCAGCCAUGCCGCGUGAGUGAAGAAGGCCUUCGGGUUGUAAAGCUCUUUCAGCCGGGAAGAAAAGGUUGCGAUUAAUAAUCGCRAUUUMUGACGGUACCGGAAGAAGAAGCACCGGCUAACUACGUGCCAGCAGCCGCGGUAAUACGUAGGGUGCGAGCGUUAAUCGGAAUUACUGGGCGUAAAGCGUGCGCAGGUGGUUUUGUAAGUCAGAUGUGAAAUCCCCGGGCUYAACCUGGGAACU